AUUGUUGAGAGCAAUUAGAUGGAUGACCGUGCGCUGUCCGUGGCAGUGUACAUUGAUAUUAUUAUUAUGAAAACAAAUUUGGCUAUAUGGAUCAAGACACUUAAAGAUUUAAUGUCUGGUAAUUGUAACAAUCUGUCCUAAGCAACUAUCUAGAGACUUGUAUGAAGAACUCUGAACAGAGCUGUUCAUAGCAGUUUAAAAUAAUAAGAAGUUUUAAGUAACCAAACUGUCAAAAAGUUAGGAAGUUAUUAUACAAAAAUAUAGUAACAACUGUGGAAAGAAAUUUUAGGCAACGAACAAAAAUCAAGACAUGUUUAAAUGAUGACAAUAUAAUAUUAGAGGAGAAAGCAGGAUAAAACUGUGUAUUAAAUAAAAUUGAAUUGUGUCUGCUUUGGGUCUGGAUCCCUCAGGUGCCCGUUUGGUGACAGGAGGAUAUGACUCUGAUGUUAAGUUUUGGGAUUUUGCUGGAAUGGAUGCUUCUUUUAAGGCAUUUCAAUCCCUUCAGCCCUGUGAGUGGUAUGCAUUCACUUACUUAAUAUCUUCAUAUUUGACUUAGUAUCUUCACAUUGGAAGACAGUGCUAUUGGCUUUGGAAUCCCAUCUACAAGGAUUUGUAUCAAAAUACAUUAUGUUUAUAUGACUGUAUACUGCCUUCAUAAUUUAAAUGAAGUAAAAUGAGCC
Molecule: long non-coding RNA, 680 nt
Filed under: Homo sapiens (human)
Lineage: Eukaryota; Metazoa; Chordata; Mammalia; Primates; Hominidae
Description: long intergenic non-protein coding RNA 2113
Source: RNAcentral